GGUUAAGCGACUAAGCGUACACGGUGGAUGCCCUGGCAGUCAGAGGCGAUGAAGGACGUGCUAAUCUGCGAUAAGCGUCGGUAAGGUGAUAUGAACCGUUAUAACCGGCGAUUUCCGAAUGGGGAAACCCAGUGUGUUUCGACACACUAUCAUUAACUGAAUCCAUAGGUUAAUGAGGCGAACCGGGGGAACUGAAACAUCUAAGUACCCCGAGGAAAAGAAAUCAACCGAGAUUCCCCCAGUAGCGGCGAGCGAACGGGGAGCAGCCCAGAGCCUGAAUCAGUGUGUGUGUUAGUGGAAGCGUCUGGAAAGGCGCGCGAUACAGGGUGACAGCCCCGUACACAAAAAUGCACAUGCUGUGAGCUCGAUGAGUAGGGCGGGACACGUGGUAUCCUGUCUGAAUAUGGGGGGACCAUCCUCCAAGGCUAAAUACUCCUGACUGACCGAUAGUGAACCAGUACCGUGAGGGAAAGGCGAAAAGAACCCCGGCGAGGGGAGUGAAAAAGAACCUGAAACCGUGUACGUACAAGCAGUGGGAGCACGCUUAGGCGUGUGACUGCGUACCUUUUGUAUAAUGGGUCAGCGACUUAUAUUCUGUAGCAAGGUUAACCGAAUAGGGGAGCCGAAGGGAAACCGAGUCUUAACUGGGCGUUAAGUUGCAGGGUAUAGACCCGAAACCCGGUGAUCUAGCCAUGGGCAGGUUGAAGGUUGGGUAACACUAACUGGAGGACCGAACCGACUAAUGUUGAAAAAUUAGCGGAUGACUUGUGGCUGGGGGUGAAAGGCCAAUCAAACCGGGAGAUAGCUGGUUCUCCCCGAAAGCUAUUUAGGUAGCGCCUCGUGAAUUCAUCUCCGGGGGUAGAGCACUGUUUCGGCAAGGGGGUCAUCCCGACUUACCAACCCGAUGCAAACUGCGAAUACCGGAGAAUGUUAUCACGGGAGACACACGGCGGGUGCUAACGUCCGUCGUGAAGAGGGAAACAACCCAGACCGCCAGCUAAGGUCCCAAAGUCAUGGUUAAGUGGGAAACGAUGUGGGAAGGCCCAGACAGCCAGGAUGUUGGCUUAGAAGCAGCCAUCAUUUAAAGAAAGCGUAAUAGCUCACUGGUCGAGUCGGCCUGCGCGGAAGAUGUAACGGGGCUAAACCAUGCACCGAAGCUGCGGCAGCGACGCUUAUGCGUUGUUGGGUAGGGGAGCGUUCUGUAAGCCUGUGAAGGUGUGCUGUGAGGCAUGCUGGAGGUAUCAGAAGUGCGAAUGCUGACAUAAGUAACGAUAAAGCGGGUGAAAAGCCCGCUCGCCGGAAGACCAAGGGUUCCUGUCCAACGUUAAUCGGGGCAGGGUGAGUCGACCCCUAAGGCGAGGCCGAAAGGCGUAGUCGAUGGGAAACAGGUUAAUAUUCCUGUACUUGGUGUUACUGCGAAGGGGGGACGGAGAAGGCUAUGUUGGCCGGGCGACGGUUGUCCCGGUUUAAGCGUGUAGGCUGGUUUUCCAGGCAAAUCCGGAAAAUCAAGGCUGAGGCGUGAUGACGAGGCACUACGGUGCUGAAGCAACAAAUGCCCUGCUUCCAGGAAAAGCCUCUAAGCAUCAGGUAACAUCAAAUCGUACCCCAAACCGACACAGGUGGUCAGGUAGAGAAUACCAAGGCGCUUGAGAGAACUCGGGUGAAGGAACUAGGCAAAAUGGUGCCGUAACUUCGGGAGAAGGCACGCUGAUAUGUAGGUGAAGUCCCUUGCGGAUGGAGCUGAAAUCAGUCGAAGAUACCAGCUGGCUGCAACUGUUUAUUAAAAACACAGCACUGUGCAAACACGAAAGUGGACGUAUACGGUGUGACGCCUGCCCGGUGCCGGAAGGUUAAUUGAUGGGGUCAGCGCAAGCGAAGCUCUUGAUCGAAGCCCCGGUAAACGGCGGCCGUAACUAUAACGGUCCUAAGGUAGCGAAAUUCCUUGUCGGGUAAGUUCCGACCUGCACGAAUGGCGUAAUGAUGGCCAGGCUGUCUCCACCCGAGACUCAGUGAAAUUGAACUCGCUGUGAAGAUGCAGUGUACCCGCGGCAAGACGGAAAGACCCCGUGAACCUUUACUAUAGCUUGACACUGAACAUUGAGCCUUGAUGUGUAGGAUAGGUGGGAGGCUUAGAAGUGUGGACGCCAGUCUGCAUGGAGCCGACCUUGAAAUACCACCCUUUAAUGUUUGAUGUUCUAACGUUGACCCGUAAUCCGGGUUGCGGACAGUGUCUGGUGGGUAGUUUGACUGGGGCGGUCUCCUCCUAAAGAGUAACGGAGGAGCACGAAGGUUGGCUAAUCCUGGUCGGACAUCAGGAGGUUAGUGCAAUGGCAUAAGCCAGCUUGACUGCGAGCGUGACGGCGCGAGCAGGUGCGAAAGCAGGUCAUAGUGAUCCGGUGGUUCUGAAUGGAAGGGCCAUCGCUCAACGGAUAAAAGGUACUCCGGGGAUAACAGGCUGAUACCGCCCAAGAGUUCAUAUCGACGGCGGUGUUUGGCACCUCGAUGUCGGCUCAUCACAUCCUGGGGCUGAAGUAGGUCCCAAGGGUAUGGCUGUUCGCCAUUUAAAGUGGUACGCGAGCUGGGUUUAGAACGUCGUGAGACAGUUCGGUCCCUAUCUGCCGUGGGCGCUGGAGAACUGAGGGGGGCUGCUCCUAGUACGAGAGGACCGGAGUGGACGCAUCACUGGUGUUCGGGUUGUCAUGCCAAUGGCACUGCCCGGUAGCUAAAUGCGGAAGAGAUAAGUGCUGAAAGCAUCUAAGCACGAAACUUGCCCCGAGAUGAGUUCUCCCUGACUCCUUGAGAGUCCUGAAGGAACGUUGAAGACGACGACGUUGAUAGGCCGGGUGUGUAAGCGCAGCGAUGCGUUGAGCUAACCGGUACUAAUGAACCGUGAGGCUUAACCUU
This 2904-nucleotide ribosomal RNA is filed under the name Escherichia coli. RNAcentral describes it as "23S ribosomal RNA". It matches the Rfam family "Bacterial large subunit ribosomal RNA". Lineage: Bacteria; Pseudomonadati; Pseudomonadota; Gammaproteobacteria; Enterobacterales; Enterobacteriaceae. The record is from RNAcentral.